RNAcentral lists this ribosomal RNA (492 nucleotides) under uncultured bacterium. RNAcentral describes it as "partial 16S ribosomal RNA". It matches the Rfam family "Bacterial small subunit ribosomal RNA", at positions 29 to 507 of the family's 1533-position model. The record is from RNAcentral.
AGUGAACGCUGGCGGCAGGCCUAACACAUGCAAGUCGAACGGCAGCACAGUAAGAGUUUGCCCUUACGGGUGGCGAGUGGCGGACGGGUGAGGAAUACAUCGGAAUCUACUUUUUCGUGGGGGACAACGUAGGGAAACUUACGCUAAUACCGCAUACGAUCUACGGGUGAAAGCAGGGGAUCUUCGGACCUUGGCCGAUAGAAUGAGCCGAUGUCGGAUUAGCUAGUUGGCGGGGUAAAGGCCCACCAAGGCGACGAUCCGUAGCUGGUCUGAGAGGAUGAUCAGCCACACUGGAACUGAGACACGGUCCAGACUCCUACGGGAGGCAGCAGUGGGGAAUAUUGGACAAUGGGCGCAAGCCUGAUCCAGCCAUGCCGCGUGGGUGAAGAAGGCCUUCGGGUUGUAAAGCCCUUUUGUUGGGAAAGAAAAGCAGCAGGUUAAUACCCCGCUGUUCUGACGGUACCCAAAGAAUAAGCACCGGCUAACUUCGUG